AUUUAACUAGCCAAAAUCAGUUCCUGAAGGCAAUCCACAAGGAAGUGACAUCAUUUUGAUGGGACAACAACAACACAAACACCAGUAAGUAUUAGUAAUGGAUUUUAUUAGUUCUGUGAUGUUUUGUGGUAUUAGCUGGUUUGUCUUAUCUUAAAACAUGGCAUCAUGUUUAACAAUAUUACAGAAAGCAUUUCAAGCAUAAAAAAAAAACUCACCAUGUAUACUAACUCAAUCUCCCUCUGAGACACAGUUCUUUAUUUGCAUCACGUUAAGCAUCAGUUUUAUUGGCUUUGUGUAAUUAAUAAUUAUAAUUAACUUUAACUACAGCAUAUUUAACAGAAAUAUAGGCAUUGCCUGUUUCAAGAUGACAUAAAACAUACAGCUUCCGGAGAAACAUUCAGUGCUGCCAUACAAAGUUUAAACAAUGCAGGAUUGUGGGGUCCAGUUAGAGUCCAGUGAUGAGUGAGAAAGUUCAUGUUCAAAGUAUGCAGGCUCACUUGAACAGGCCCUUCCCAAUGUCCACAGCCUGAUCAGCGGGGCCUUUGUCUGCAGACAGAAUGUAUUAAUCAGAGAGUUUCAAACUGGAUGAAUAUGAUAAUGGGAGAAAUUAGUUUCUUUCCAAGGUCUCCUAUCAAAGGAAACUAAAAUGUUACCUCCACCCUCUUUCUGGCCUUUUGCACCUCCUGCCUUUUUCUUGUCUCCUCCGAUUAUUGCUCCAACUUUCUCUUUGGCAACAUCAGCUGUAACAUUUAUAAAAGUUAAUGGUCAUGCCUGUACGUUUUAGGAAAAGUAAGCUAUAAGUUACAGAAAUUACUAGCACUCCUUGUAAUUAAUUUAAUUUGUUACAUUAGUUUUCAGGCAUCAAUUUCAGGUUUUUAAUUUUCAAAUGCCAUGCUGUUACUUUCAACAGUGCAUAGAUGCAUUAAAUAAAUGUUAUAAAAUAUGUCUUGAACUUACCAGCCUGAUCGAUUAACUUGUCCACUUUCCCAUCCGCUGUACCCUUGAUGAAGUCCAUGUUUCGUGUCUGAUGUCAG
Molecule: long non-coding RNA, 1034 nt
Organism: Cyprinus carpio carpio
Lineage: Eukaryota; Metazoa; Chordata; Actinopteri; Cypriniformes; Cyprinidae
Source: Ensembl